GGAGGGGCGGGGAAGGCGGGCGGUCGCUGUGGGGAGGCGUUGGGCCCUUGUUGUGUCGGGGCGCGGGGCCCGUCCCCCCCCUUCUCCGCCGGUUCGCGGCUGCACAAAGACGCACAGGGCCCGUGUGAGUAAGACCAGGAUGGAAGAGUCCAAUGGGGACCUUCCCAUCCAGAGAGACACCAUCCUAUCCAAGUUGUGCUGUGAUCACGUCGCCGUAACAAACCUGGUGGAAGUGCUGAGAUCUUUGGUGGCUUUAACUGACCCUCAGGAGGGAAAGCUGACUCAGUCUCAAGAGAAAGCACUGAACUUGGUGGGCAUUUGGAAAACUGUAUUUGCAGCUGUUCCUGGGCCUACGUCAAAGACCCC
Molecule: long non-coding RNA, 366 nt
Filed under: Aquila chrysaetos chrysaetos
Lineage: Eukaryota; Metazoa; Chordata; Aves; Accipitriformes; Accipitridae
Description: lncRNA (ENSACCG00020011119.1)
Source: RNAcentral